Molecule: ribosomal RNA, 331 nt
Filed under: uncultured eukaryote
Lineage: Eukaryota
Description: partial 18S ribosomal RNA
Rfam family: Eukaryotic small subunit ribosomal RNA
Source: RNAcentral
CCCUUAGAUGUUCUGGGCCGCACGCGCGCUACACUGACGAAGUCAGCGAGCAUGUCCUACGCCGACAGGUGCGGGGAAUCUUGUCAAACUUCGUCGUGAUGGGGAUUGAUUAUUGAAAUUCUUGAUCAUCAACGAGGAAUUCCUAGUAAGCGCAAGUCAGCAGCUUGCGUUGAUUACGUCCCUGCCCUUUGUACACACCGCCCGUCGCUACUACCGAUUGAAUGGUUUAGUGAGUUCUUCGGAUUGGCGCCACUGCGGCUCAGCAAUGGGCUCGGUGGAUGCCGAAAAGUUGAUCAAACUUGAUCAUUUAGAGGAAGUAAAAGUCGUAACA